Molecule: ribosomal RNA, 327 nt
Filed under: uncultured eukaryote
Lineage: Eukaryota
Description: partial 18S ribosomal RNA
Rfam family: Eukaryotic small subunit ribosomal RNA
Source: RNAcentral
CCCUUAGAUGUUCUGGGCCGCACGCGCGCUACACUGAUUCAUGCAACAAGUUUUGUCCUUGGCUGAUAGGCCUGGGUAAUCUUUGAACGUGAAUCGUGAUGGGGAUAGAUGAUUGCAAUUAUUCAUCUUCAACGAGGAAUUCCUAGUAAACGCAAGUCAUCAGCUUGCAUUGAUUACGUCCCUGCCCUUUGUACACACCGCCCGUCGCACUUACCGAUUGAAUGGUCCGGUGAAAUCUUCGGAUCUGAGAGAUGUCUGAUUAAUUUCGGACGCCUUUUGGAAAAGUUGUUUAAACCUUACCAUUUAGAGGAAGGUGAAGUCGUAACA